UCUAAUAUGGCAGAAAUUUAAUGCUUUGAACUUAAAAUUAAUUUAUAAAGAUUAAUCUUUUUUUAGAA
Molecule: transfer RNA, 68 nt
Filed under: Tuberculatus margituberculatus
Lineage: Eukaryota; Metazoa; Arthropoda; Insecta; Hemiptera; Aphididae
Description: tRNA-Leu
Source: RNAcentral